This 237-nucleotide ribosomal RNA is filed under the name uncultured eukaryote. RNAcentral describes it as "partial small subunit ribosomal RNA". It matches the Rfam family "Eukaryotic small subunit ribosomal RNA", at positions 587 to 829 of the family's 1831-position model. The record is from RNAcentral.
AGCUCCAAUAGCGUAUAUUAAAGUUGUUGCGGUUAAAAGCUCGUAGUUGGAUUUCUGUUGAGGAUGGACGGUCCGCACUAAGUGCGUGUAUCUGUUACAGCCUCGGCAUCCUCUAGGAGAACGGCGCUGUGAUUCAUUUCAUGGUCCGGAAUUCUAGACUUUUACUUUGAGGAAAUUAGAGUGUUCACGGCAAGCAAUCGCUUUGAAUACAUUAGCAUGGAAUAAUAAUAUAGGACC